GAUGAACGCUGGCGGCGUGCUUAACACGUGCAAGUCGAACGAAGCACUUUAUUUUAUUUCCUUCGGGACUGAUUAUUUUGUGACUGAGUGGCGGACGGGUGAGUAACGCGUGGGUAACCUGCCUUUUACAGGGGGAUAACAGUUGGAAACGGCUGCUAAUACCGCAUAAGCGCACAGCAUCGCAUGAUGCAGUGUGAAAAACUCCGGUGGUAUAAGAUGGACCCGCGUUGGAUUAGCUAGUUGGUGAGGUAACGGCCCACCAAGGCGACGAUCCAUAGCCGACCUGAGAGGGUGACCGGCCACAUUGGGACUGAGACACGGCCCAAACUCCUACGGGAGGCAGCAGUGGGGAAUAUUGCACAAUGGGCGAAAGCCUGAUGCAGCGACGCCGCGUGAGCGAAGAAGUAUUUCGGUAUGUAAAGCUCUAUCAGCAGGGAAGAUAAUGACGGUACCUGACUAAGAAGCACCGGCUAAAUACGUG
RNAcentral lists this ribosomal RNA (481 nucleotides) under uncultured bacterium. RNAcentral's name for it is "partial 16S ribosomal RNA". It matches the Rfam family "Bacterial small subunit ribosomal RNA", at positions 28 to 507 of the family's 1533-position model. The record is from RNAcentral.